GGCUCCACUCCCCGGAGGACACAGCUGUCUUCUGGAAAACACCUCAGGUGAUACCUUAUUGUUUAGGAGGACCUGCAAGCCUUGAAACGACUUUAAUGAGCUAAGGCAGGUGAAAUGGCUGUGACUAGAAUUUACCCACAUUUCACCUGGUCAUCUCUAAUUGCGGGACGUAAGGGAUAGAACGUUGUAGAGCUUCAGAACGAUGCUCCCUUCUUCCUCAGGCUUAGCCCGUUCUGCUGGAAGGCAGCCACAGAGUGCAGAGUGAAGAAGCAGUAACUGGUCAAGAGGAAAUGUCACUGAAAUGCGGAGAUCCCCAACAGUUUUUUUUUUUCCUUUGCUAAUACUCUAAGUAGAGUUUCCCCGCAAAGCUCCAAUAACACAGGCCGUCAGAGAGAGCAGUUCCCUUUAUAGGUUUUCCUUUUGCUUCGUUUCAACGUUGACCACAGGGGACAUUCCACAUGGCCCCUCCCUCAUGCGUGGUUGAAAAUAAUCCCGAUCCAGUCUCUGUCGGGGUCAGGCUGCUCCGGCGUCCUGUGCGGAGAACAGUUUGAGUGAAGCAUGCUUGUCCUUCCCUGGGUGCAUGUCCUUGGAGAU
This is a non-coding RNA of Vicugna pacos (alpaca), 594 nucleotides long. The record is from RefSeq and is a predicted model, not a curated record. NCBI's taxonomy places the organism in Eukaryota, Metazoa, Chordata, Mammalia, Artiodactyla, Camelidae.